GCCCGGGUGGUGGAAUUGGUAGACACAAGGGAUUUAAAAUCCCUCGAUCGUAAGAUCGUGCCGGUUCAAGUCCGGCCCCGGGCACCA
This 87-nucleotide transfer RNA is filed under the name Idiomarina seosinensis. RNAcentral describes it as "tRNA-Leu". It matches the Rfam family "tRNA". From Rfam's summary of the family: Transfer RNA (tRNA) molecules are approximately 80 nucleotides in length. Their secondary structure includes four short double-helical elements and three loops (D, anti-codon, and T loops). Further hydrogen bonds mediate the characteristic L-shaped molecular structure. tRNAs have two regions of fundamental functional importance: the anti-codon, which is responsible for specific mRNA codon recognition, and the 3' end, to which the tRNAs corresponding amino acid is attached (by aminoacyl-tRNA synthetases). tRNAs cope with the degeneracy of the genetic code in two manners: having more than one tRNA (with a specific anti-codon) for a particular amino acid; and 'wobble' base-pairing, i.e. permitting non-standard base-pairing at the 3rd anti-codon position. The record is from RNAcentral. RNAcentral also lists the same sequence under 2 other names. Lineage: Bacteria; Pseudomonadati; Pseudomonadota; Gammaproteobacteria; Alteromonadales; Idiomarinaceae.